CCGGUGUGGAUAUACACUCAGAGUAACAUCACAAACAUCAUAUUUUUAACAGUUUAAAAAAUGAUCCUCUUUAAUAUUAAGCCCCCUUUACAUGAGAACCGGAAUGAAAAUUGGAAUUGUCAACAUGUUUACAUGAGACCGGUACGAAAGUCACAAAAUUUUCAAUUUAUUCCCCUUGCUAGGCAACUCUCUUUUUUAGAUGGCUU
Molecule: non-coding RNA, 206 nt
Organism: Paramuricea clavata
Lineage: Eukaryota; Metazoa; Cnidaria; Anthozoa; Malacalcyonacea; Plexauridae
Source: the annotation of a GenBank genome assembly